AGCUUCUGUGUUGGGGCCCAUCCCCAACUUGCACAUUAUUGUAAGCUGACUUUUCGUCAGCUUCUGUGUUGGGGCCCACACCCCAACUCACAUUGCCUGUAGAAUUUCUUUUCGAAAUUCUCUGUGUUGGGGCCCCUGACUAGAAUUGAAAACUUGUUACAAGCUUAUUUUCAUUCAAUUAACUACUGUCUAUAUAAAAUUGUUGAGCCAAGAACA
This 216-nucleotide non-coding RNA is filed under the name Staphylococcus aureus. RNAcentral's name for it is "Staphylococcus sRNA 35 (srn_0335)". It matches the Rfam family "Staphylococcus sRNA 35 (srn_0335)", at positions 43 to 261 of the family's 270-position model. Rfam says of the family: Other name: Srn_0335, SAOUHSCs258. Northern blot transcript confirmed in exponentially growing and stationary cells in three cultivation media. Trans-encoded. The record is from RNAcentral. Lineage: Bacteria; Bacillati; Bacillota; Bacilli; Caryophanales; Staphylococcaceae.